This 520-nucleotide ribosomal RNA is filed under the name uncultured archaeon. RNAcentral describes it as "bacterial SSU rRNA". It matches the Rfam family "Archaeal small subunit ribosomal RNA", at positions 325 to 846 of the family's 1478-position model. The record is from RNAcentral.
ACGGGGUGCAGCAGGCGCGAAAACUUUGCAAUGUGCGAAAGCACGACAAGGUUAAUCCCGAGUGGUUUCUGCUAAAGGAACCUUUUGACAGUCCUAGAAACACUGUUGAAUAAGGGGUGGGCAAGUUCUGGUGUCAGCCGCCGCGGUAAAACCAGCACCUCAAGUGGUCAGGAUGAUUAUUGGGCCUAAAGCAUCCGUAGCCGGCUCAGUAAGUUUUCGGUUAAAUCUGUACGCUCAACGUACAGGCUGCCGGGAAUACUGCAGAGCUAGGGAGUGGGAGAGGUAGACGGUACUCGGGAGGAAGUGGUAAAAUGCUUUGAUCUUUCGAUGACCACCUGUGGCGAAGGCGGUCUACCAGAACACGUCCGACGGUGAGGGAUGAAAGCUGGGGGAGCAAACCGGAUUAGAUACCCGGGUAGUCCCAGCUGUAAACUAUGCAAACUCAGUGAUGCAUUGGCUUGUGGCCAAUGCAGUGUUGCAGGGAAGCCGUUAAGUUUGCCGCCUGGAAGUACGUACGCAA